UAGUACCUUCGGUGCUCGAGUUGUAAUUUGUAGAGGGAUACUUUGGGGCCGUUCCUUGUCUAUGUUCCUUGGAACAGGACGUCAUAGAGGGUGAGAAUCCCGUGUGGCGAGGAGUGCGGUUCUAUGUAAAGUGCCUUCGAAGAGUCGAGUUGUUUGGGAAUGCAGCUCUAAGUGGGUGGUAAAUUCCAUCUAAAGCUAAAUAUUGGCGAGAGACCGAUAGCGAACAAGUACAGUGAUGGAAAGAUGAAAAGAACUUUGAAAAGAGAGUGAAAAAGUACGUGAAAUUGUUGAAAGGGAAGGGCAUUUGAUCAGACAUGGUGUUUUGCGCCCUCUGCUCCUUGUGGGUGGGGGAAUCUCGCAGCUCACUGGGCCAACAUCAGUUUUGGUGGUCGGAUAAAUCCGUAGGAAUGUGGCUUGCCUCGGCAAGUGUUAUAGCCUGCGGGAAUACGGCCAGCUGGGACUGAGGACUGCGACUUUUGUCAAGGAUGUUGGCAUAAUGGUUAUAU
This 506-nucleotide ribosomal RNA is filed under the name Monosporozyma unispora. RNAcentral's name for it is "LSU rRNA". It matches the Rfam family "Eukaryotic large subunit ribosomal RNA", at positions 123 to 643 of the family's 3401-position model. Lineage: Eukaryota; Fungi; Ascomycota; Saccharomycetes; Saccharomycetales; Saccharomycetaceae. The record is from RNAcentral.